UGCAACUCUCUUGGAUGCAAGCUGCCGUUAAACCUCAAAGAAGAAGAAGGAAGAAGCCUAUUAUGCGUCACGUCCGGAUCCUCCCCUUUCUGUUUAUUGAAGGUGGUUUCAGGUAUGUGCUCUUAGCAUGUAGCAUCUCGCUAACCUUUUAAUUACUGUUCGUGGGGCAUUAACGAUUCGUUUGUUGCAUCCUAGCUUGUCGUUUCAUCUGUGUGCGUGUCUCCUUCUGUUGCUUCAGUAGUAGAGUUGAUGACUGCCCUCCUUUCAGGGUGGAGGAUCGUCCGUUUGAUUAUCGGAGCUGGCGUACAGACUACGCGGUCGCUCCCUAUGAGUCCUGUCUUCCUCGUAGUUGAGCUGAGUUUCUUCUUUGGGUUUUCUUUUUCUUCCUUUUUUUUGAAUUUUUGUAUGUUGUUUGUGCUGUAUUGUGGUUAUUUUUUUUGUACCCAUUAUUAUUGUUUUUUGAUGGAACUGUGACUCCAUUUGAUUUUCAUUUACUUCUGUUUAUAAGAAUUAUCUAUUUUGUUUUUGAUUUUCUUUCAGGAGCUGGGGUCCCAUGGGUGAAGGAUCUUUGGUGGUGGUGCUGCUUCAACGUUUGCCGUUGGACACUUUUUGAAGUGUUUGGGUGUGUGAUCUGAGUGCACGGUGGGGUGUGUGGAAGUGUGCUUUUGGAUAAUUAUUGCUGCUGAUCACUCCUGUGUGUAACCUCAGCCCCGUGGGAUAGUGUAUUUUUGUUUAUUGAACUGCUAUUGGAGAGAGAGAGCUGCCAGGAGUGGCAUGUUACCAUUGAGGCUAUUUUAAGUAUUUUUCUACCUUGUUGAAUUCAUUGUGAAUAAACUUUGUAUUUUUAUACGAUACCUACGUUUCUUGCCUACCCUUUUAUAAGAGAAGUGAACCUGUGUGACCUAAUAAUAAACUUUGGGGUUUAUUUCUAUUUCCUGGGUGAAAAUCCCCCAGGUGGCGUAGUCGAAUUUUCUACAAGUAGAUGAACUUGGGCUUGUGUGUUAAAACCUGUACGGCACCCUCGCCACACAUGCAUGUUCCCACUACUGCUGGUUUCUGUGGCAUGUGCCAUGGUUUUCAGCACAAACACUAUCAGCACUCAAUGAGAUGAGCUAAUAAUGAAAGAUGAACAUAAUGUUAGAUGUCACUGCAGCCUCUACAGCAUCGUAUCUUAACUUACGACACAUUAUUUUGCGCCACAAAAAAUCUAAACACAGAGAGCUCAGAAUGGAAAUAGCUUGAAAUGUGUCCAUACCAUCCACAGGCAGUGAGUAGAAUUAAUCAGAAACUGAAGCCUAAUAACAUAAAAGCUUUAAGUACAGUGCUGUGUUCACCUAAACUGGAUAUUUUACUUGCGAGUCUACUGAAAAUUGUUAACAGUUAUCAAGACACAAAUCAGAGGAAGAGUCCUGAGACUCAGUGGAGGUUCGGUGAUAUGAUUUAGCCCAUGAUUUGUUUGUCUUUUUAUACCCUGAUGAUUCUCACCUUGCUUGAAAUCUUGUUGAGUUUAUUAGUGCAGUAGUGAGUCUUAAUCCCAUGUUCCUGUGUAAAUCUGUUUUUUGGAUUAUGGAUCUGCUUACUUUAAUGUUGCCUUCCUUUACUUUGGAAGUGAAGGACCUCUGCUUGUAAUUAUGAUGAAGUUUAUUGGUUUGCACUUAAUAAAGAUCACACUGAGUUUA
Long non-coding RNA from Pangasianodon hypophthalmus (striped catfish), 1679 nucleotides. RefSeq lists it as uncharacterized. The transcript has 2 exons. The record is from RefSeq and is a predicted model, not a curated record. NCBI's taxonomy places the organism in Eukaryota, Metazoa, Chordata, Actinopteri, Siluriformes, Pangasiidae.